RNAcentral lists this long non-coding RNA (1134 nucleotides) under Homo sapiens (human). Its description in RNAcentral is "HSALNT0013304". Lineage: Eukaryota; Metazoa; Chordata; Mammalia; Primates; Hominidae. The record is from RNAcentral.
AAAUAAGUGCAGGGAGGCAGCUUGAGAAUCCCUUCCCCUUUCUGGGUCUUGGGUGGGGUGGGGCUGGGAUUCUAGGCAGAGCAGACCUGAUUUGAGGGCACUUGCACUGUGUGCAGUUGUGCUGGCUCAUGCCACAUGACAGGAUAGGAGCCCUGUAGGAAGACAGUGCAGCUUUGUCCAACAGAGUGUGGCCAAGCUGUGCACCCAAGGGCUGCCCUUGCUGGGAGAAAGGCACGCCUUCUUCUUGACACAAAGCCUGGUGAAGCUUUUUCUGCCCACAAAGACAUCUUCUGCAUGCCAAGCCAUCAGCCUGCUUAAGGAACCUGAGCUCCACAGGACUCAAUGAAAAAGCAACUGUAACAGAAGAGAUAGGUAAGUUAUGUUCUCUGUUUACUUUGUUUAUGUCUGAAUUUACUUUGAAACGCUUCAGCACUGGCAGUGUGAUUUGCUGUAUAUGUUAUUUAGAUGUAAUCUGCACCCAAGGGAUGAUAACUUACUGUAAUUGGGAAUGCAUACUCCAGGGAUGGUUAGCUAAUAUUUACCAAAGCAGCAGACAACAGAGAAAAUGAGAGCCAAGUGAAAGGAGAAAUCCCUUAUAAAAUCAUCAGAUCUUGUCAGACUUAUUUACCACCAUGAGAACAGUAUGGGGGAAAUCACCGCCAUGAUUCAAUUAUCUCCCCCCAGGUCCCUCCUACAACAUGUGGGAAUUAUGGGAGCUGCAAUUCAAGAUGAGAUUUGGGUAGAGACAUAGCCAAAACGUAUCACCUGAUAACAAGGUUAAGAAGGGGAAGAGGCAACAUCCUCACCUGCUCAAGGUUGGAUCCAACUUUUGUGGGGCCUGAGGCUUACAUACCUUCAGGGUCUUCUUUGGAAAAGAAAUAUUAAAAAUUAUAAAUACAAAAUUAUCUAUGAAAAUGAAUGUUUAUACAGAAUGAGAAAAAAUGACUUCAAAUUUUUUUUUUUUGAGAUGGAGUCUCUGUUGCCCAGGCUGGAGUGCAAUGGCAUGAUCUCAGCUCACUGCAACCUCCACCUCCAGGGUUCAAGAUAUUCUCCUGCCUCAGCCUCCCUAGUAGCUGUGAUUACAGGCAUGCACCACCAUGCCUGGGUAAUUUUUGUAUUUUUAGUAGAGACGGG